This is a long non-coding RNA of Harpegnathos saltator (Jerdon's jumping ant), 635 nucleotides long. RefSeq lists it as uncharacterized. NCBI's taxonomy places the organism in Eukaryota, Metazoa, Arthropoda, Insecta, Hymenoptera, Formicidae. The transcript is spliced from 3 exons. The record is from RefSeq and is a predicted model, not a curated record.
UACUGUUUAAGUGGUAAGCUGUUAGUUUGCGCAAACUUUUUGACAGCUGUACGCACGUGUGUCACAAAUAUCAUGUAUCGUCAAAUUAUAAAUGUAAAAUACUUUAUAAUAUUAAAUAAAAAUGACAUAAGUGAAAACAUAAAGUGCGAAUAACAAAAUAAAUGAGACGAGUGAGAACAUAAAGUCAAUAAGUUUUUCAGUGUUUUGGCGUGCUUCAGUAAAUUAUCGGUCAUGGUUGUGACUUGGUUCUUUGCAUUGGCAUAAAUUUUCCACUAUUGCAAUAAAGAAAUACAUAUCAGCUUCCCAGCUAUCCAAGUUCUUGCAGAAUAUUAAUAGUUGGAAGCCACUUUCCUGUGAAGUAAGAUUACCAAAGUCUCAGGUUAUUGUGUCCUUGAAUGCGUCCCAGUGAGCAAAAGUUGAAUCACAUCCUAACGUCAAAUAUUAGAGUAAGAUGUGUUACUAGCAGUGUAAUGACAGAUUAAUGCAUCAAACUAAGAAUAAGUUCGUAACAUUGAUGUUUACUGUCAUAUCAUCAAUUCUUUUGACAGCUGUACUCGAAAUUUUUUAUCAUUUUAUCAUGUAGCGUACUGACUGAUAUAUUCUUCUUAUCUUUUAGGAAACAGUAUAUAUUUUUU